RNA transcript from Vigna angularis (adzuki bean), 2559 nucleotides. It is a transcript of the gene named farnesyl pyrophosphate synthase 2-like, with no coding region annotated. The transcript is spliced from 8 exons. The record is from RefSeq and is a predicted model, not a curated record. NCBI's taxonomy places the organism in Eukaryota, Viridiplantae, Streptophyta, Magnoliopsida, Fabales, Fabaceae.
CCAAACCACUAUCUUCUUUUUCCUAAUGCCUUCAUUUUCUCCCAAAUCACAAUUUUCAUUUCGCUGCACCUCUCCGCCACCGUUGCCUGAAGCUUAAUUCCAUUCUCCGCUGCUCCUCUUCCUUCUCCGAGAAGCACCACACAAACUCCCCCAACUCCGAUGACGUCGUCGAGCUUCCUCUCUUCCCUCUCCCUCUGGUGCUCUUCCCCGGCGCCAUCCUCCCCUCCAGAUCUUCGAGUUCCCCUACUGCAUCAUGAUGCACACACUCCUCCAAACAAACCUCCGCUUCGGCGUCAUCUACACGGAUGCCGUCUCCGGAACUACCGCCGUUGACUGCGUCGGCGAAGUCAUAAAGCAUGAGAGCCUCAUGGAUGACCGCUUUUUCCUCAUCUGUAAGGGCCAGGAAAGGUUCUGAGUGAACAGUGUGGUGCGCACGAAACCCUACCUGGUCUCGCAGGUGACGUGGCUCGAGGACCGACCAUCUCCCUCCAUCGACCUCGAUCUGGACAGGCUGGCCACCGAUGUGGAGACAUACAUGAAGGAAGUUAUCCGGUUAUCCAACCGGUUGGGAGGGAAACCAGAGAAGGAGGUUGGGGAUUUGAGAAGAAACUUGUUUCCAACGACAUUCUCGUUCUUCGUUGGCAGCACCUUCGAGGGCGUGCCAAGGUGCAAAAUGAAUCUGGAAGCACCACAAGCGCCACCACCAACACUGCCAUGGCAACGGAAUCCAUGGUGUCAGCAUGCCACUGUUGUUGUUUGGUGAUGAAACUGAUGAGGAAACUGAAGCGACGUGGGCGCACACUACGACCGAAAAGUGUGAGUCGACAAGGUUUGUGGCAAAUCCAAGAACAACUUCUUCAUGCCCUGUUCUUCAACUAUAAUCAGGGAACUCCCAUUAACCACCACAAUGAAUCUCUUCACUUUUUUCUUUCUCAAACCCUCUUUCCCAUGAUAUAAAGAUGGGUAUUGUAGGGAUCUAAUGUCUAUGAGCUUCUUCCAUACCAUAUAUAUUGAAUCAUAUUAGUUAUCUUAUGGUUAAUUUCGUUUAACUUCAAACAUAUUCGUUGCUAAUCUCUUCAGAUGUCUUAUUUCCAGUGUUGAUUGGUGAUUUAUACUCUAUACCAAAUGUAUUGUUGCUUGUAAGUGUAACUUUGUGGCAACAUAUUGAGAAAAUAGUUGUAAAUUCUUUUCGUGCAUAAACUCAGCUUGCCAAGUAAGAGAAAAUUCCAUUAAUAUAUCUCCUUUCAAAUGAUCUUGUACAUUAGAGUUCUAAUUACAACUAUGAUGGAACUAAAAGAGUUAUAUGUUUGUUGUUUUUGCAGUCGUAUAUUUUCAGAGAUUAUUGGGAAGACAUUGGAACAAUGAAACCCGACAUUGGCUCUUACUGAAGAGUUCAUCGUGAUGUGAUCAAGCGCCUUGUGAAAGACAAGUCAGAGAAAGUAGCAGCUGGUGUUGAUGAUGAUUUUAUUUCAGAACUCAAGCCUCUGUCAAAAGAAGCUGUUGAAAUACAAAUGAAAGACCUUCAGUUCUUUCAACAAAAUAGUGAGACUUAACAAUGUGGUGAAGCCUGUAAUUUCCACUUUACAAUAUGACAGUUGAAAGCUUUUUCUUUUCUUGUUUAAAUGAUUAAACAACUUCUAAUGGUUUCAGAGUUUACUGUGAUGAUGGCAUUUAGGGGUCUUAAAAUAGUAUGUUGUGGAGUUUUGCAACUUCAGGCGUAUUUUCUUGUCCUUGAUGACAGUAUGGAUAAUUCUCACACACGUAGGGGUCAACCAUGCUGGUUUAGAGUGCCCGAGUUACAUGUGCAUUGCUCAUGGCGGGUGAGAAUCUGGAAAACCAUGUUGAUGUGAAGAACAUUCUUGUUGAGAUGGGAACCUACUUUCAAGUACCGAUAAUACUUUGCUAGUAUAGUUUUGAUCGCUUCUCUUAAGACCAUUUAGACUCUAGAAUGAUGUCUGUCUAGUGUAUACUUUCACUAUCAGCUUAAAAUAUUUCAUAAAAAAUCGUAUUUUGACGUAUCUUUUCCCUUCCCCUUCCCCCUCUAAUUUUAGGAUGAUUAUUUGGAUUGCUUUGGGGAUCCUGAUACUAUUGGAAAGAUAGGUACAGAUAUUGAAGAUUUUAAAUGCUCUUGGUUAGUUGCGAAAGCUUUGAAGCUUAGCAAUUAGCAACAAAAGAAAGUUCCAUACGACAACUAUGGGAGUGCAGAUCCAGAAAAUGUUGCUAAAGUAAAGGCCCUGUAUAACGAGCUUAAUCUUAAGACUUGUUGUAAAAGCAUAUGUAUUUAUGACUUCCAAUUUUGGCCUUAAAUUAAGUGUAUUUGAAAAAGAAGUGUUUCAAAUAAAGACGAUAAAGAAGUAUCAAAUGAUGAAGACGAUAAAGAAGUAUCAAAUGAUGAAGACGAUGAAGAAGUAUCAAAUGACUAAGACGAUGAAGAAGUACAAAACUGAUGAUUAUUAUUCAUAACAUGUUUAUUUUAAUUUUUAGGAAACAUUAAUUGUAUUUCUAAUGUUUAUAAUUUAUAUAAUAAUAUUUUGGUAUAUAUUUAAUGUUUACAUUUUA